GACGAACGCUGGCGGCGUGCCUAAUACAUGCAAGUCGAACGCACUCUCGUUUAGAUUGAAGGAGUUUGCUCCUGAUUGAUAAACAUUUGAGUGAGUGGCGGACGGGUGAGUAACACGUGGGUAACCUGCCCUAAAGUGGGGGAUAACAUUUGGAAACAGAUGCUAAUACCGCAUAAAACCUAACACCGCAUGGUGUAGGGUUGAAAGAUGGUUUCGGCUAUCACUUUAGGAUGGACCCGCGGUGCAUUAGUUAGUUGGUGAGGUAAAGGCUCACCAAGACCGUGAUGCAUAGCCGACCUGAGAGGGUAAUCGGCCACACUGGGACUGAGACACGGCCCAGACUCCUACGGGAGGCAGCAGUAGGGAAUCUUCCACAAUGGACGAAAGUCUGAUGGAGCAACGCCGCGUGAGUGAAGAAGGUUUUCUGAUCUUAAAACUCUGUUGUUGGAGAAGAAUGUAUCUGAUAGUAACUGAUCAGGUAGUGACGGUAUCCAACCAGAAAGCCACGGCUAACUACGUG
This 520-nucleotide ribosomal RNA is filed under the name uncultured bacterium. RNAcentral's name for it is "partial 16S ribosomal RNA". It matches the Rfam family "Bacterial small subunit ribosomal RNA", at positions 28 to 507 of the family's 1533-position model. The record is from RNAcentral.